GCCUUCGUGGUGUAGUGGUCAGCACACUUGGCGCGUAUUCCAGAGGUACGAGGUUCGAGUCCCGGCGAGGACA
Stegodyphus mimosarum is the source of this 73-nucleotide non-coding RNA. The record is from Rfam. NCBI's taxonomy places the organism in Eukaryota, Metazoa, Arthropoda, Arachnida, Araneae, Eresidae.